GUAGUCUGCAACCCGGCCUACAUGAAGCUGGAAUCGCUAGUAAUCGCGGAUCAGAAUGCCGCGGUGAAUACGUUCCCGGGUCUUGUACACACCGCCCGUCACACCAUGGGAGUCGGAAAUGCCUGAAGUCUGUGACCCAACCUCAGGGAGGGAGCAGCCGAAGGCAGGUCGGAUGACUGGGGUGAAGUCGUAACAAGGUAAC
This 202-nucleotide ribosomal RNA is filed under the name uncultured bacterium. RNAcentral's name for it is "partial 16S ribosomal RNA". It matches the Rfam family "Bacterial small subunit ribosomal RNA", at positions 1300 to 1500 of the family's 1533-position model. The record is from RNAcentral.